GACCGGCUUUCCACUGAGCAAGGCAGCUCUUUCCGAUUUCCGCCCAUAGCUCGACCCUCUCCACUAUCUCCACGUUUAUUAUUCCGAAUCCCUGUUCAUAGACAGUCCUAGGGUUUCUUCCCGGGCCUUCCGCCCGCCGGGAAAUGCGGUGACUCCGGUAGCGACGCUUUCAUGGACCAUCCAAUUGGAGGCGGCCUCUUCCCCGGUUCCUCCGCCGGAAUUCUCGACCUCCAACCCUCCACUCGUCAUCGCCUUCCCCCUCCCGCUGCUCAGUCGAUGUCUCUAUUCAGUGAUGACGAAGACGCCGCUAUCGCUGGAGGCGGUGGCGAGGACAGUCCCAGCCAUGACUCCCUUCAUCGAGGCAAAAAGGGCUCACCUUGGCAACGCAUGAAGUGGACCGUCGACGUGGUCCGCCUUCUGAUCUCUCUCGUGGCCUCGAUCGGUGACGACGCUGGUUCGAUGGAUACCGCCGGGCGGAAGCAGAGCGUUGCGAUGCAGAAAAAGGGGAAGUGGAAGAUGGUGUCUAAGUUGAUGAUGCAGAAGGGAUGCUAUGUUUCACCCCAGCAGUGCGAGGACAAGUUCAAUGAUCUGAACAAGAGGUAUAAGAGGUUGAAUGAGAUUCUGGGCAGGGGAACCACCUGCCAGGUCGUGGAGAAUCCCGCUCUUUUGGAUUCUAUUCCUCAUGUUUCUCAGAAGGCUAAGGAUGAUGUGAGGAGGAUUUUGAGUUCUAAACAUCUGUUCUAUCGAGAGAUGUGCGCUUACCAUAACGGGCAAAGGGUACUGGACUCAAAGGUUGGAUUUUUGAAGUGCGGUGAUGCUCAUGAGGUUGAGGAUGAGGAUGAGGAAAAUGAGGAGGAAAAAGAAGAGGAUGAUGAGGAUGAAGAUGACGGAUGUGGAAGCGAUGAUUUUGGCAAGGUGGGCUAUGAUAAACUUUGCGCUGAGAUUGAUUUGGUUGUUCAGGAUUCAACAAAAACCCAGUGUGAAAGGAGUGUCUGGAUCAGGAAACGACUUUUGCUGCUUCAGCAGGAGAGGGUGGGCAUACAGUCUGAAGCAUUUGAGCUGCAAAAGCGGCGAAUGAAGUGGAAGAGGUUUUGUAGCAAGAAGGAUAGGGAAUUGGAGAGUCUGAGGAUGAAGAAUGAAAGGCUAAGGCUAGAGAAUGAGAGGAUGACACUGCAAGUUAGACAUAAAGAGCUGGAGUUGGAUUCCAUGAGAUCAGGGGAAAUGGUUGAACCUUUUGUUACUCAAGUAGAGGGCGAGCGGGUUAGAGCUCACAGUGGAGUUGGAAGGUUACAAUUGAAAGUUAUGGCCUCUUAGAAAUUUGCUCCUCACUUCGUCUCUGUAUUCGGCAAGAGAAGGAACUUGGCAAGUGCAUGAACUUGGGAAGUCUCAUGUUGACUUGAAUUUGAUUUUCUCAUUGAGUCCUCCAAUUCAAUGAUUCGCAGUUGCUUCAAACACAAGGACUCGACAAUCUCUUAUGUGGCCAAUUCUGAUUUAGUGAGAGAAGAUUCUAAGGAAAAUAUCGCACAAUAAGAAGCAGUAAGAAAGCCCUUCCAAACGAAGGCUUAGAUAAGAAUGUAUAUCAAGAAGUAGAAAAUAAUGUUACUCUCUAUUUCAAGUGGGAUAUAUACUUAUCAAGAAGAAACAGAUGC
This is an RNA transcript of Dendrobium catenatum, 1649 nucleotides long. RefSeq lists it as uncharacterized. The record is from RefSeq and is a predicted model, not a curated record. The transcript has 3 exons. Lineage: Eukaryota; Viridiplantae; Streptophyta; Magnoliopsida; Asparagales; Orchidaceae.